RNAcentral lists this long non-coding RNA (839 nucleotides) under Homo sapiens (human). Its description in RNAcentral is "novel transcript". The record is from RNAcentral. Lineage: Eukaryota; Metazoa; Chordata; Mammalia; Primates; Hominidae.
AUACAAAGGCUUGGCUAAUACUGCAGUUUGGGAUCCACAGCCUACAAAACCCCACAGCUCCUAAGAAUUCUCUCACCUGCCUUCUGCCCUUAAGCUCCGGUAGAUUGCAAAUAACCUGCUUUCUUUCUGUUCCCGAGCUGCGUUCGGACCCGUCGGAUCGUAAAUCCCACGUAAGGUCGGAAGAUUUGAACUUUCUACUUGGACACCUAACACCCACAGUCCUCCAGCUGCGUUCGGACCCGUCUGAUCGUAAAUCCCAUGUAAGGUACCUGCCGUCGGAAGAUUUGAACGUUCUACUUGGACACCUAAAACCCACAGUCCUCCAGACAGAAAGACAACAGGUACAAAGCCCUAAGGAUUAUAAAGGUAUGCUGCUUACCAUCAUCUUAGUGACCAAGGCAGCGAAGCUGUUUCUGUACCUUGGAACAGUCUUCCCUGACAAGCCAGAGAACAGUGAUAAAGCCACCAGCCUUGGGAUCAGGACUGAAAAGGCAAGAGUGAUGGAGAUUUCUCCUGCGCUAAGCCAAGAGAAGGUUUCAGCACUUCAGACAGCUCCCACCGAAGUAGCCGCGCUCCCAGCUGCUUGCAGAUGUUGAAAAGGAAAGCCUCGGUUUGUCUUGAGGUUGUCAGCAGGUGCAAGACACGUAAUAAAAUGCAAUGUGUUCCUAAUUCAUUGCAUAUCCUCAGCUUUAAAUUUGGGUAGCAAAAUGAUUACUCUAGAUUCUUCAGUCUUGGCAAGUAUCUGUACCUAAAAAGCAGUUUUUCUACCUAAUGUCUUUUUUUGUUUUUGUUUUUCAAUACACCUUAAGCAAAUUGAAGCUUUUGUUCCUGGAGGAAAA